Molecule: ribosomal RNA, 301 nt
Filed under: uncultured bacterium
Lineage: Bacteria
Description: partial 16S ribosomal RNA
Rfam family: Bacterial small subunit ribosomal RNA
Source: RNAcentral
CAGUAGCCACGGUAAUACGUAGGUCCCGAGCGUUGUCCGGAUUUAUUGGGCGUAAAGCGAGCGCAGGCGGUUAGAUAAGUCUGAAGUUAAAGGCUGUGGCUUAACCAUAGUACGCUUUGGAAACUGUUUAACUUGAGUGCAAGAGGGGAGAGUGGAAUUCCAUGUGUAGCGGUGAAAUGCGUAGAUAUAUGGAGGAACACCGGUGGCGAAAGCGGCUCUCUGGCUUGUAACUGACGCUGAGGCUCGAAAGCGUGGGGAGCAAACAGGAUUAGAUACCCGUGUAGUCCCUGUCUCUUAUACA